RNAcentral lists this ribosomal RNA (774 nucleotides) under uncultured Neocallimastigales. RNAcentral describes it as "partial large subunit ribosomal RNA". It matches the Rfam family "Eukaryotic large subunit ribosomal RNA", at positions 24 to 614 of the family's 3401-position model. The record is from RNAcentral. Lineage: Eukaryota; Fungi; Neocallimastigomycota; Neocallimastigomycetes; Neocallimastigales.
UAUCUCUGUAGAGUCUGCAUAUCAAUAAGCGGAGGAAAAGAAACUAACUAGGAUUCCCUUAGUAACGGCGAGUGAAGCGGGAAGAGCUCAAAUUUGAGAUCUUCAAGGUUCUACCUUGACGAAUUGUAGUUUAAAGAAGUGUUUUCUGUUGGAGUUUUGGUAAAAGUUCUUUGGAAUAGGACAUCAUAGAGGGUGAGAAUCCCGUAUUUGACCAUUUCUUCCAGCUGUGUGAUACACUUUCAAAGAGUCGGAUUGUUUGGGAAUGUAGUCCAAAAUGGGUGGUAAAUUUCAUCUAAAGCUAAAUAUUGGCGAGAGACCGAUAGCGAACAAGUACCGUGAGGGAAAGAUGAAAAGAACUUUGAAAAGAGAGUUAAACAGUACGUGAAAUUGUCAAAAGGGAAGCGUUUGACACCAGUGUUGUUUUCUCGAAAAUCAAUUAAAAGUGGCCGGAUUUUGUGUUGUAUUGACUUUAUCAGCUUUCUGCACUUUUUUCUUGUCUUUUUUAAUGCACUUUUCGUUUAACAAGUCAACAUCAAUUUCUUUUGUUGUAAAAGAGUCAUUGGAAGGUGGCUUUCACUUCGGUGAAAGUGUUUAUAGCCUUUGACUUCUGCAAUCGGAGAGAUUGAGGUCUGCAGCGUAGAUCCUUCGGGGUUAGAUACAUUUGUGCUAAGUUAUAGUUUUUCAUAGACAACAUGUUGACUAUGAUUAAUCAUGUAGCUUACUCGCUUAUGCUAUUUUACCUACGCUUAGGAUGUUGAACGCGCACAGAGUCUC